RNAcentral lists this ribosomal RNA (202 nucleotides) under uncultured Staphylococcus sp. RNAcentral's name for it is "partial 16S ribosomal RNA". It matches the Rfam family "Bacterial small subunit ribosomal RNA", at positions 137 to 334 of the family's 1533-position model. Lineage: Bacteria; Bacillati; Bacillota; Bacilli; Caryophanales; Staphylococcaceae. The record is from RNAcentral.
ACUGGAUAACUUCGGGAAACCGGAGCUAAUACCGGAUAAUAUUUUGAACCGCAUGGUUCAAAAGUGAAAGACGGUCUUGCUGUCACUUAUAGAUGGAUCCGCGCUGCAUUAGCUAGUUGGUAAGGUAACGGCUUACCAAGGCAACGAUGCAUAGCCGACCUGAGAGGGUGAUCGGCCACACUGGAACUGAGACACGGUCCAG